Molecule: ribosomal RNA, 467 nt
Filed under: uncultured bacterium
Lineage: Bacteria
Description: partial 16S ribosomal RNA
Rfam family: Bacterial small subunit ribosomal RNA
Source: RNAcentral
GACGAACGCUGGCGGCGUGCUUAACACAUGCAAGUCGAACGGAAAGGCCCUGCUUUUGUGGGGUGCUCGAGUGGCGAAUGGGUGAGUAACACGUGAGUAACCUGCCCUUGACUUUGGGAUAACUUCAGGAAACUGGGGCUAAUACCGGAUAGGAGCUCCUGCUGCAUGGUGGGGGUUGGAAAGUUUCGGCGGUUGGGGAUGGACUCGCGGCUUAUCAGCUUGUUGGUGGGGUAGUGGCUUACCAAGGCUUUGACGGGUAGCCGGCCUGAGAGGGUGACCGGCCACAUUGGGACUGAGAUACGGCCCAGACUCCUACGGGAGGCAGCAGUGGGGAAUAUUGCACAAUGGGCGGAAGCCUGAUGCAGCAACGCCGCGUGCGGGAUGACGGCCUUCGGGUUGUAAACCGCUUUCGCCUGUGACGAAGCGUGAGUGACGGUAAUGGGUAAAGAAACACCGGCUAACUACGU